RNAcentral lists this ribosomal RNA (264 nucleotides) under uncultured archaeon. RNAcentral's name for it is "partial 16S ribosomal RNA". It matches the Rfam family "Archaeal small subunit ribosomal RNA", at positions 717 to 982 of the family's 1478-position model. The record is from RNAcentral.
AGACGUCUACAUUAGAUACCCGUGUAGUCCCAGCCGUAAACUAUGCGCGUUAGGUGUACUGGUGACCACGAGUCACCGGGGUGCCGAAGGGAAACCGUGAAACGUGCCGCCUGGGAAGUACGGUCGCAAGACUGAAACUUAAAGGAAUUGGCGGGGAGCACCACAACGCGUGGAGCCUGCGGUUUAAUUGGAUUCAACGCCGGAGAUCUCACCAGGGGCGACAGCAGUAUGAUGGCCAGGUUGAUGGCCUUGCUUGACAAGCUG